CCCUAGCCUCAAAAAAAAAAAAACCAUCCUUUCUCUCCCCUCGCCCAUUCGUGCCGACGCGGCAACGUCAGCUCCGAUUCGCCGGCGACGCGCGCGGCAGGAUGGCUCCGUACCUGCUGAGGUCCGCCGUCGCCAUCCUUCGCCGACCUACCCCGCCGUCGACCUUCCUCCGCCGCUCUCCCAUCGACAGCUCCCGGUUCUUCGCCUCGGGUGGAGCUGUGAGGGUCGAACCCGCAAAGGAGCUACAGCUUUAGGGAAUUUCGGUUUGUGGCAAGCCUGACCACAACAGGAAGGGCCACUACAAGUACCAGGAGGCCCUACUUGGAGGAGGAUAUGAAAUAGAUGAAAAUUAUGAUGACCCUUCUUUUCUUCAGAUCCCUCACGGCAGCCACAAUCAAUGGUCUUGAACAUGGCACAAAGAGAGAGAUCAUUCAGAGCUCCUCAUAGAGAGCAUGGACCAUUGCCUCAGCAAUCCUCUUUUGUUGCAGCUGCAGGUGAUUCCAUUCCACAACCUAGAGUUAUUACAACCGAAAUGAACAUAGGCAGGAGUACAAGAGCAACCCGAAGAGCUGAAACAGGGGAAGGAUCACAACAUGUUGCAAGAGGUAAUAAAAGACAGAGGGGAGCUGGAAGAGGAGCUGCUGAUAUUGCAGGCACAUCUGUAGCUGCUGCUAGGGGAAGAGGAGCUGGAAGGGGAAGGAUCUCUGGAAGAACUGCAGGAGGUAGAGCUGGAAGAGGAGCUGGAAGGGGAAGGAACACUGCAGCAGCUAGUACUGGAAGAGGUGCUGGAAUAUCUUCAGGUGUUGACACAUCUUUAGGACUUGGAUUUGGUACUGGAAGAGGUGCAUAUUACUGGUUGUUUGGAGAUGACAGGGCUACAGAAAUUCCAGAUCUCAACUUGUAGGCCAUUCCAUUAGUACACCUACAAGUUCAUGAAUGAACUUCAUUUUGUCUCACCAAAUGUAAGAGUUCAUGGAUGAACUUUCUUUAGUGAUGUAUUUUGUGACAGCAAACUCCAUGGUGCUGCUGCUAAACUUAAGUGUAUUCUGUGACAGCAAACUCUUUUAUGCUG
Triticum dicoccoides is the source of this 1072-nucleotide long non-coding RNA. RefSeq lists it as uncharacterized. The record is from RefSeq and is a predicted model, not a curated record. NCBI's taxonomy places the organism in Eukaryota, Viridiplantae, Streptophyta, Magnoliopsida, Poales, Poaceae. The transcript has 3 exons.